This 440-nucleotide ribosomal RNA is filed under the name uncultured bacterium. RNAcentral's name for it is "partial 16S ribosomal RNA". It matches the Rfam family "Bacterial small subunit ribosomal RNA", at positions 338 to 795 of the family's 1533-position model. The record is from RNAcentral.
CCUACGGGCGGCAGCAGUGGGGAAUAUUGCACAAUGGGGGAAACCCUGAUGCAGCGACGCCGCGUGAGUGAAGAAGUAUUUCGGUAUGUAAAGCUCUAUCAGCAGGGAAGAAAAUGACGGUACCUGAGUAAGAAGCCCCGGCUAACUACGUGCCAGCAGCCGCGGUAAGACGUAGGGGGCAAGCGUUAUCCGGAUUUACUGGGUGUAAAGGGAGCGUAGACGGCAGCACAAGUCUGGAGUGAAAUGCCGGGGCUUAACCCCGGAACUGCUUUGGAAACUGUGCAGCUAGAGUGCAGGAGAGGUAAGUGGAAUUCCUAGUGUAGCCGUGAAAUGCGUAGAUAUUAGGAGGAACACCAGUGGCGACGGCGGCUUACUGGACUGUAACUGACGUUGAGGCUCGACAGCGUGGGGAGCAAACAGGAUUAGAUACCCGAGUAGUC